GGUGGUUCAUUUAUUUAUUUGCUUGGGUUUGUCCCUUUAAAAGGAAAAAUCUGCUCCACAACCAACUAACAGUGCAUUAGAAAGGGAACAGCCCAUUUCCCCCCAGCUCUUGCAUCCCCUGGCAGAUGCUCUGCUCUUUCUGCAGUGUCCUUGGUGGCGUUGCAACCGCAUGUCCCCACGCAGGACAUGCUGACACAGCCCUGAGCAGACAUUGCCUCACCAGGCUCUGCCCCAAGCUCCAGAGGUCCCUACGAAGCCCAGGGCUCCCAUCAGGCUCUGUCUGUGGACAGCACACACAGAAAUCAAACUGCAAUCUCCUACCAGGCUGCAGCACGGAGGAGACUGAACUAUUCUGAUUAAUGAGAGCUGAUGCACAUCCAAGCCCCACUUUCUCACCGGGUGAUGCACAAUAAAGAAAACUCCCUGCCAACGACAUGUCAGGUCAGGAGGGGGAAUGAGAAUAAUACAUCAGUUGAUCAGCAGGGCUCAGGAAGGGCAGCACACCUAAAGAGCCAGCAAGACCUUUAAUAGCAGAAAUGUUUUCCUGUGCAGGAGGCUGUUGCUUUUGUGACAGGAAGGCAGCAGGGAGCCGAGGGGAGUUUGUUCCUGGGUGAGGUCUGAUGGAUGACGAACAAUGUUGGCUGCAGCCAGCAGCGAUUCUGGGGACUGGGCAGUGAUCUCUGAGCUGCAGUUAAGUGGCAGCUUGGUUGCUGCUUUCUAUGAGGAGUUUAUGAGUGCAAAACCUCAGGUUCACCGAGGCUGGCAGCUCACAGAAAUUAGCCCAUGUGGCUUGAUCUUCCCUUGACAUAAAACUGGGAAGUCAUUGGAACUAUAAUAGAUGUGCAAACAAAAGCUGAUUUGCAGCAGCUAAGCAUCUGCUCCCUUCUGCGGACCUGACUUCAGAGGAACCAGGCAGAUUUAUGCUUUCAGGGAAUCUGACCCUAGACACGUGGUGGGUUCCAAGGUGACAGUCAUUCCCUGGUAUCAGGGCACCGGUCUGUCCCCUGCAUUCAUCUUAAAACCUUACCUGCUGUGCCCAUCUGGUCCAGACAUCAAGAUCAAUAUUGUCAGUGAAUGGCACUGAGAUUUGCACACAAAACUGUGCAGUCGAUCAAAAAGUUUGCAGAAUUGGUUUCUCGCCACCCCUUGGCUAUUCCAGUGCCCAGAGGGUGUUAGCAAUGUCUAAAAGCACUGACCUCUCACUUCUGCACAGCUGCUGUUAUAUUGUGAGUAGCCUUAUUCACCUCCCAAAGGGCCAGAGAGCGUAUGGCAUCAAGGCACUGCCUCAGCAGUGCUGGGUAGGGGGGACCUGAAAGGCAGAGGUGGGAGGAACGAUUUCCUCAGCCCCUCUGGUGAUCAAUUACUGAGUGAAAGAUGAAAGAUGAGUGCAUCCAGGGCAAAUCUGCUCUGAUGAAUAAUACCAUAAUGUUUGAAGAAAGGAAAACCCGACGUGGUGCUCAGCACCUGAUGGAAAAGGAGAUGGUCCAGUGCAAGCCAGGCUGCAAAAGGGAGACAGAAACACUCCGUUGCCUUGAAUUCAAUCUUGCGCCUGUUUCAUCCUCUCUCUGAACUUACCAGGCAUUGAUUUGUGCCCCUGUGCACUUACAGACAGACAAACUUCAUCUGAGCCGGUGCCAGCCCCGGAGCUGGGUUUUUCGUUGUGCUCAGCACGCUGCGGGUGACUAAGAGGUUUCUGAUUAAUGGGAGAGGGUAAAGUCUGCUCAAAGCAAUAGAACACCCUGACUGAGCCAGGAAAGCAAGUUUGGGCCUGCCACAUACUGUAAUAUUGCAAGUGGUGAUAACCUACAGCAAUGAGAUGUACUGUAACCCCGCGAUGGGCUAUGUAGGGAACUCAUUCUAAAAGCAAGCAGGAUUCAGUGCCUGCCAGGGCACCUGGGCUCCAGCACUGGCUAAUGCAUUUCUCUUCUUGGUAAUUCUCUAAGGAGAGAAUUACUGUUACCUGCAUUUUGCAGGCAGAUAAUUUAGGUUUAGCCCAAAGAACAUGUUGAGCAGAACAGAGAAUGAAACCUCAGUCUCCUUAACCAGAGCUUGGUGUCCCAGAGUCAGAGCCAUCCAUCCUUCAGCAGGUGCCUGGAGGCAGGAAGGAAGGGAAGACAUUUUAGUGCUGAUGCACCAGAGCAAUAGAGUAUAGAAGCAGAAGAAAAAUGUCACUGCAUGAGGAAGUAACAUCCCCUGCUGGGAGCAUCACUGAGUGGAACAGAAAGGUCUGCGCUUUUCCUGCAAGAAAACACACACUGAAAAGAAACUGAGAGGCAAAAACUAGGACACAAGCUUCCCCUUCAAUCAAAUCUCAUAUGUGGAGGAGAAGGGGUAGAGCAGAUCCUCGCUAACAAGCGGGGGCUGCUGCAGCAGGGCAGAGGUCUCCCCUUCCUCGCCUGGGGUUGGUACACGGCACAUCACUCGCUCAGGGUACAUUGGAGUGUGCCCCAUAUUGCUGCUGCGAAGAUCUGCCUCUGCAUUUUGGGACUGACUGAUGCCAGAGUCUCCCUAACGCAGAACUGAUGAGACAGGAGAAAGGACAGGCUGUACCUGGGAGAAAAGGAGAGAAAGAGGGAACACAUUUGGGCUAAAAGCACACUCUGGAAGUGAGGGUUAGCUCAUACGUUUAUAUCACAGCUCUGUUUCAGGAGUGCUGUUGGAUCAGGCUCCUCUUAGAGGCGUGGAGGAGAUUUCUGCUCCUUGGGGCACUCCAGGAUGUAACACUGCUGCAAACCUUGUGGCUUUUGGCAUUUUUCUUGACAGCUACUCAACAGCUUUCCCUGCUCUAGCCUUUAAGGAUCAAUCACUCAUUCUAAUGCCUAAGGUAAUUCUGUUCCUCCUUACAUCAAGCAAGAUGUGCUGCUAACGUUGCUGGGUCCAAGGACUUAAUUAGCAUUUGACCUGUUAAACUGAAGUCCUCUAAUGCAGCUGGUGCAAAAUCUGAACUGUUAUUAAUCCCAUCUCAAACUUUGGUCUUGAGGGUCAUUGCAGAAGAGGACUGUGAAAUGCUAACGGUAACAAACCUGAUGGGAACUAUCAAUAGAAUGGCAAAAGGUCUGAGGAGACCAAUUCAGACAUCAGGAAAAGAGACCUUUGCUGUUACCCAUAUCACCUGCUUCUCUUGGACUACUUCAGCCUUUAAUUAUCUGUCUCACACACUGAUUUCCAUAUGCAUUAAUAGCAGCUCACCAAUCCAGCAUUAUCUUCCUCUGUGUUAGAAGACGCUGCACCUCGUAGUAAGUGUCUUCUCCCCAGCAGGGUUGUCUGAGGAGGAAGAAAAGCAAUCUCCACCGGCUCCGGCUUCGGCCCCGGCCCUACCCUGCGGGCUCCGCCGGGCGCCGCUCCACCGCCCCCGGCAGCGGCCCGGUAGCGGCACUGCGUUCCGCUGCGGGAGGGAUAAGCAAGAAAAAAAGAGAGAAAAGCGAGAAAGGAAAGAAAAAAAUAAAGAAAUUAAAAGAAAGAAAUAAUAAAGAACAGAAGGAGGGUGAUGGCCUAGGGAAGGGGAGAGAAAGGAGAGGGGGCAAGAGGGAAGGACCAGGGAAAGGGAGAGUGGGGGGGGAAGGAGGGAGCGGGGCGAGGGGGAAAGGGGAAAUAGGGAAAGAGGAGCAGUGGGAAGGGGGAACGGAAGAGGGGGAAGGGGGAAUGGGGAAGGGGUAUCGGGGGGCGUCAGGGGCUGGGGGCCGAGAAGGGGGAGCGGGAAGAGGGGAGGGACGCGAAGAACCGGGGCAGGGGCGCGGGCGGGGAGGUGGGUCCGAG
Molecule: long non-coding RNA, 3756 nt
Filed under: Strigops habroptila (Kakapo)
Lineage: Eukaryota; Metazoa; Chordata; Aves; Psittaciformes; Psittacidae
Description: lncRNA (ENSSHBG00005008579.1)
Source: RNAcentral